This 73-nucleotide transfer RNA is filed under the name Neotoma lepida (desert woodrat). It matches the Rfam family "tRNA". From Rfam's summary of the family: Transfer RNA (tRNA) molecules are approximately 80 nucleotides in length. Their secondary structure includes four short double-helical elements and three loops (D, anti-codon, and T loops). The record is from Rfam by way of RNAcentral. Lineage: Eukaryota; Metazoa; Chordata; Mammalia; Rodentia; Cricetidae.
UGAGAUGCAGCUCAGCUUGUAGAGUGCUUGUCUACCGUGCAUGAAGCCCUGGGUUUGAGUCCCAGCAUCAUAU